GGGGAUGCCUGAUCGAUUCCGGUGCCUGGAGCAGAGGAUGCGGAAGUACCGCUCGCAUUCCGUGCCGCGCGGCUCCCGAUUCAGC
RNAcentral lists this small RNA (85 nucleotides) under Sinorhizobium meliloti 2011. RNAcentral's name for it is "putative ncRNA". The record is from RNAcentral. Lineage: Bacteria; Pseudomonadati; Pseudomonadota; Alphaproteobacteria; Hyphomicrobiales; Rhizobiaceae.